Molecule: long non-coding RNA, 2661 nt
Organism: Felis catus (domestic cat)
Lineage: Eukaryota; Metazoa; Chordata; Mammalia; Carnivora; Felidae
Exons: 2
Source: RefSeq, a predicted model, not a curated record
CGCCACCCAGACCGGAAGUGGCAAACUGCCCUGGGCCCGGAGCUUCCCGGGAAGUGCCUUAGGGACCCCCCUUAGGGAAAGGGGCAGGAAGCAGGAGGCCAGGCCAACAGGGCCUUGGGUCCCUUGCCUUACUUAACCAAGAUACACUGCUGUUGUCUGCAUUAUGUGAGUUCCAUUGAAAAAAGACAACAACUGGUCAACAACAACAACAAAAAAGGUACUGUUUGUUUCUACCUCCUAGUUUUAUAGAUGAGAAAACUCUGAAUUAUAUAACUGAAAAUCCUUCCUUCCUUCCUUCCUUCCUUCCUUCCUUCCUUCCCCCUUUUCUUCCUUCCUUUUUUCUCUCCAUUCAUUAGAGUUUGCAUGGUCCCCACACUAGGGACCUUAUUCUUGUCCUUACCUUGCAGCUAGCCCUGAGUGGCCACGUCAGGACGCUCUGGCUCACAGAGCGCGUGGAGUGAUGCGAUCUUCUGCGCGGCCCCCCAGGAAGGGGGCUGUUUGCCUUCCCCUUCCUGUUCCUGUGUGCCCAGGUGCCAGCUCACCAACGGUCAGUGACUCAGCCUUGACACCCCCCCCCCCCCCCGUGAGGACAACUCUGGGGCAGGGGUCCCCGGCCUUUCUGUGCCACGAACUUCCUCGGCAGUCUGGUGAAGCCUGGGGACGUUACCAGCAUCUUGUUUUUUAAAUGCAUAAAAUAAAACACACGAGAUUACAGAAGGAAGCAGUUGUACUGAAAGACGGACGUCAAAAUAACGGAACACACGUAGACGUUUGUGACAGAGGAGCGAUGCGCUUCUUUAUUAACAUUCAGUGGUGAAGCCUAGCAGCAGGAUUGACAGCAAAUCGUAAUUCUGAAAGAGUAAUAAAUGUGAACUGAGAGCUUGGGGUAUCUGUACUAUUACAGUAUGAUAUGGAAACGUAGGCGAUUUCUGCCGGCCACGGAGUCCCUGAUCCUGCCCUUAUUAUAGUGGUUUGUUGCCACAUUCCUAAUGGAAAGGAAUGCUAAGUUUCACUUAGAGGUUGGUGAAAAUGCAGACGCAUUUUUGUUUCGUGCCCGUUCAUCUUGGGUUCUCUCUGUGGAGUCCGCGUUCAGAACUGCGUUGGGAGCUGGCAGAGAAAAUCCGUUUUCUCUUUUAGACAUUUACGUCAAGAGUUCCGUGUCAGUCGCCCUUCCCAGCCAUCUCCUUCUCUCUGGUGUGUAGACGAUGCCUGGAUAGGGGUCGUGUGGGGAGCAGGUGUUCAGUUACUUUGUGCUGAAUUAACACGAAUCCGCACGAUCGGGCCCCCGAACCUGGAAGAGUAGAGUCAGUGGGGCUCUGGGCAGUGAAGUCCUGUGUUUAACCCUUGAGUCUGUCCUUUACUGGCUCUGCCACUGCGAGUAGCUGUUUACGCUCAGCCUUAGUGGUGACAUUUGUUAAAACGGGGAUAAUAGUUUCUUGAAGUGUCCAAAGUCCAAUGGGAUAGACCAACGAUCACUCAGGUCUCACGCUGCUGCCCUUUCUUAUGCUUGGAGUCCUUUCUCGUGGAGUUCCAGCACUUACUCACCUGAUUUCCAGGUUGCUGUCUUUGCCAGGAAUCUCCGCCUAUUGACUUGGGGGGCAAAGGUAGGGCUGGGGGCCUCCGAGAAUCUUCUGGCCUGCUCUCUUUGUUCCAUGACAGUAGUUAACUACUCUUUUCUGUAUUAUUCCGCGUCCUGGGUGCCAGGCACUCCGCGUUACCUCACGGAUUGCCUCACGAUGGCCCUAAGAAGACACUCGUAGUGUGAGUCCCACUUUCCACAGAAAUGGAGGCUCAGAGAGGGCAAGCAACUUGUCCAUGGUCAUUCCGUUAUCAAGUGCCCGAUCCAGGAUUUGAACUCAAGGCUACUGGUUUGUCAGCUGGAGGCGCUUCUCGGGAAGUGAUUACCGAAGUGGUACCGAAAACGUUCGCGUGCCCGAGGUCGUCCACGCCAGCAGGUGAUCUUGCUACGCUCACUCCUGCUACAGCUCCGGAAAGACUUUCUGCCCCGCAGCUGGAAUGGGCCCAGCUGGAGCUGAAAGAGCGGAAGCUGAAGUCCCAGAGCGAUUCAAGAGCCGCGUAAAACCCUCGGCUUGCUCGCCAUUAUUUCCAGGAACGCCAAGAAGCAGGUGGUAAUAUGCGCAAAUUUUCAGCUUCUGCAUGCACCUACCAGGUCAAGCUCAGGCUCCUGGACCGGUCACGCCAGGACCCUCUGCCUCCCCCCGCCCUAUUCAGUCCUCAGAUGGUGCUCAGGCUCACAGUGGGCCAUGUAUGUGUGCAAUGUGUAUGUGCAUGCGUUUUCGAGUUUCUGAAAGUGCUCACCAGGGUUUAACGCCCAUGGCUAAUUUCAGCCCCCCCCAGCAGGGGCCUCUGAGAGUGGGGUAUCUGGACUGAUGUACCUCGUCACAUCCAUCCCCGAUUAGCCCCAUUUUUAAGUGAAGAAACCGAGAUUGGGGAUCACCCAGCUGUUAGGGUUGGACCUGGCCUUGUCACCCAGACGCUCUGAGGCCACGCUGAGGUCUUCCAGACCCAUUUCAUCUGCUCGAUUAAGCCGUGAAGCCAAGACACGUCUUCUAGGCGGAGAUCAGCAAUAAGCCAUCUACAGCCUGGGGGCCAAAUCCAGCUCCCUGCUUGUUUUUGUGGAUAAAGUUUUAUUAGAACACA